RNAcentral lists this long non-coding RNA (1283 nucleotides) under Phoenix dactylifera (date palm). RNAcentral's name for it is "long non-coding RNA (PDAC_LNC012801)". The record is from RNAcentral. Lineage: Eukaryota; Viridiplantae; Streptophyta; Magnoliopsida; Arecales; Arecaceae.
GCUUCCUCGAAUUUACGACUAAACUCAUCAUUCAUCGAGGCCCUCAUGAUGCAACGCACUGUAGUGCAAUCGUUGAGCCACUUCUGAUAAGCGUCUCUGAUUGCACAUGGUGCAUUGGCUGCAGGUUCCUCAGGUGCAGGAUCCGAUAUCACAUACAGGAUCCGCUCAUGCUCUAAUACUAUUUUCAUCUUUCGAUACCAGCUAUCGAAGUUAGGUCCAUUAAGCUUAUCAUUGUCUAAUAGUGUUCGGAGGGACAAUGAGUUAGCCAUAUCUGAAAAAUAAAGGAAAAACCCAACUAAUCAGUAUAUGAUUUAUUUAAUCCUAAAGACUUGAAUUUUAGUCUAAAGUUUUCUCCCACUAUUUUAAUCGAAUUAAUAGCCUCUACCUUUAAUUCGAGGAAUUACUUUAAUUCCCUAGUGGGUACUAGAAUCCGCAUAGACUGCAUACGGGCCCAAGGAAGGCUCGGCUAACCCAUGUGCAUCUAAGGGUAGGUACAUUACCAAUUAUUUCUCUAAACAAUUUCUAGCAAUCAAUUUUGCCCCAAGUGGUAAUCAAUAGGCGGAGGCCUCCACUGAAAAUCCUGGUUAGGUCCAACCAUUAAUGAACUAACUCGAUGAUACUACCUAAUGUAUGAUCAGGCCCGAGGAAGGCUCAGCCAACCUAAUCACAAUUAGAUAGCUCAAAAAGCUAUCAUAUAAUGAAGAAUAAUUCCAGUAUUUAGAGGAACACCAGACGGAAGCGUCCUGCAUGUUCAACUGUAAUAUUGGACCUAUUAUCAUUCACCUUAAUGGGAGGCUAUGAUCUAGUUAUCUAUAUAACUUUAUCAUUUUAAGGACCUAAUAAUUUAGAGGAUUUUAAAUGAUAUGUAACCUGAUCGAUAAUUCUAAAUCCUCCCACUGAUUUCACCAAAUCAUAUAGAGAACUAGCUCUUAUUGGUCUAUUAGACACCUAAAUCAGUCACACUGAUUUCCUUAAUGGCAUGGGUGAGUGCCAAGUCUCAAGGUACCUUAAUCAAAACUGAUCGACCAAAUUGGCCAGGUAAGAGAGAUCAUGGGAGGGUUACGCCAUUAACCUCUUUCCUAGACACCAACUAUGUUGGCUAGGCAAGAGGUAGCCCCAAUUAAAAACCAUGAUCAAAUGCCGACUUACCUUAGACACCAAUUGGUUUAUCAAGUUGAUUUAGGUUAUCCUUAGGAACUCGGGCUCGACCACUGAGCCACAAUCAGAUCCAAUUGAAAUGUUUAGAUAUGAUAAACUACAACUAUUGAGUUUAUCAUUUUAUA